Petromyzon marinus (sea lamprey) is the source of this 1094-nucleotide long non-coding RNA. RefSeq lists it as uncharacterized. NCBI's taxonomy places the organism in Eukaryota, Metazoa, Chordata, Hyperoartia, Petromyzontiformes, Petromyzontidae. The record is from RefSeq and is a predicted model, not a curated record.
CUCGCGCCGCCAGCCCCACGGGGACCUGCCGGGAGCAACCGCGCCGGGGCGGGAGGUCACGGCCGCGGCGGGCGCGGCGGGCACGAUGUCUCCCUAACCGAUAGGUGUGCAAAAUAGGGAAGGUGGUCAAGCAAGUCACUAAAUAUGAAUAAAUAAUAAAUCACUUAAAUUAUAUAAGUCAGAUUUAUGAAGCUUGGGCAAGGCAACAGUCCCAGACCACACCAAGAUAACACCACACAGGGAGAGAGGACGACUCAAGAGGCGCAAGGAGCGACCACAGACGAGCGGGAAGGCAGCAGCCACGCGGGCGAGCCGGGCCUCAACAAUUUUGUCCAAGUUCUGCGGUCCUCUACGUAUGAAGGCGCUAUCGGCCCAUUAACGAGUGUUUACACGUGGAAAAUUCUACGUUAAUAUAGCCGGGCGAGUCUAUCCACUUCACUAAAGCACACAUAAUACAAAUGUGAAACACAUGACUGCACUGUAUACGCUUCAUCCAUAACUUUGUAGAAUUGUAAAGUUACAGGAAAGUGACAUCGCUAUAAUCGUCAUAUUGUCACAUCGCGGAAACCCUGGACCAUAAAUGGAAGGCGACAGAGGAGGCUACCAGUGAAUCCUUGAGGAGGUUAUGAGUGAAUCCUUGAGGGAAACUAUCUACAGAACAAGGUGGAGAAGGGUUUGGGGAGGAAUUUUGAGGGGAACUAUCUACAUAACAAUGUGUAAGAGGAUUUGAUGAUAAAUCUUGAGAGAAACAAUAUACAGAACAUGGUGUAGGAGGAUUUCAUGAUCAAUCUUGAGAGAAACCAUCUACAUAACAUGGUGUAGGAGGAUUUGAUGAUAAAUCUUGAGAGAAACUAUCUACAUAACAAGGUGUAGGAGGAUUUCAUGAUAAAUCUUGAGAGAAAAUAUCUACAGAACAAGGUGUAGGAGGAUUUCAUGAUAAAUCUUGAGAGAAACUAUCUACAUAACAUGGUGUAGGAGGAUUUGAUGAUAAAUCUUGAGGGAAACUACAGAACAAGGUGGAGUAGGGUUUUUGGGGAAAAUGCUUGAGGAAGGAGGUGAGGGUUGGGAGGUCCUGAGGGCGCCCCUUACUGAGC